AAAUUGAAGAGUUUGAUCAUGGCUCAGAUUGAACGCUGGCGGCAGGCCUAACACAUGCAAGUCGAGCGGUAACACAGAGGGCUUGCUCUCGGGUGACGAGCGGCGGACGGGUGAGUAAUGUCUGGGAAACUGCCUGAUGGAGGGGGAUAACUACUGGAAA
This 160-nucleotide ribosomal RNA is filed under the name Klebsiella aerogenes. Its description in RNAcentral is "partial 16S ribosomal RNA". It matches the Rfam family "Bacterial small subunit ribosomal RNA", at positions 1 to 156 of the family's 1533-position model. The record is from RNAcentral. Lineage: Bacteria; Pseudomonadati; Pseudomonadota; Gammaproteobacteria; Enterobacterales; Enterobacteriaceae.